GUUAGUUAACAAAUGAAAAGAAAAGGUACUUUAAAAUUAAAAUCGUUCAACAGAUGAGAGGAAAAAUAUAGUAUUUCCCAAAGACAGAUUGUUAAUAAAAUACCAGUAAAUCUAUUUAAGAAACGAUUUGAGAAGCCUUCUUGCCCACAGCAGUGUGUUGCUGUCUCACAGUUCACCCAGUGCCUUUGCUCUUAAGUUUGUCUCAUUGGAGUAUGAAAAUAUUUUCAUUUUGCAAACAUCUGUUGAAAUCAGUUGUUGAAGAUCUGAUUCCACAAGAGGAACCGUGUCCUUUAAAGGGGAAGCAACCGCCCAGUUGUGAUUUUGUUAAUUAAUGAUAUAGCAGAAAUCUUUUCAGAGAAGAAACUCACCAAGACAUUCCCCUCUGAGAGACUCUCAAUGACUCUCCCAGUCUUUGUUCAAUACUUUAUCAACGAUUCCUGUGUUUUACAAUUUGCAGGGCAAGAGGAAUACCACGGAGCUUCCUUCCCUAAACCUUCAACUUUGAUAUCGCCCGAUUUCAACCCAACCGCGCAAACCAAAGGGAAAGCUCUCGUUGUCAUAAAGCGCACUGAAGUGACCUGGCGUGUUUUAGGCGCUCUCAGUUCAGACCCUGCCUGCCUUGACGGGGUGCGCGGCUGCGGGAGGAGCGGGCGGGGAACGUGGCGGCCCCGCAGCUGCCCGCUAGGUCGGGGGAAGCGGAGCCGCUUCUCCCGUGGGCACGGACCCCCCCCCCCCCCCCCAACCCACCCUCUCCACCUCCAGCAAUAAUUACGCUCCUAAAUGUGACAACCGUAGCUGUUUGUUUUGCCCGGGCAGAGCUCGCUUUUCGACUUGCGGGAAAGAGGGUGAGCUUUGAAACCGAAAUAGAGGCAAAAGAGCUGCAACCUCUCGGGCAGGGCAGCCCCCCCCCCCCCCGACCGCACCGAUCCGGGCCGGGCCCGCUGGGGAUAAGGUUUGUUCCCCCAACACCAGCGCUGCCGAACAAAAGGGAGAAAGAGAGAGAAGAUAAUAUUUGCUCAGGUCCCCCCUCUGUUCGCCUUUGAUUUAUCUGUUUACAAGCGGGACCCCCUCAGUUGAAACAAAAAAUCAAUGAAAAUGUAGUUGGAGAAAAGGCGGGCAAAGUCCUGAGAAAAAAAAAAAAAAAAAAAAAGAAAUUUGUGAAUGGAAGAAUGUGUUUGUGCAUUCAUUGUUAAAAUAAAGAGCGAGCCGUGACGUGAGCGCCCGCCAGCCAAUGGGCGCAGGGAUAAUAUUUUUAAAUAUCCUCCCCGGGAGCCAAUGGCGGAGGAGGUGGCAAAGACUAGCGCAGGGGUGAGCCAAUGGCGGGGGUGGUAUGCUAAUGAGGAGUUGGUCAGGCAGGAGCUGAAUGUCAACUAGUCAAAGAUGGAGGCUGGAGCGGGGCGGCCAUGAGGCAUGGAAUGAAGCUCCCUCCAGUCACCUGCUGCAAGACACAUUAUCCAGCUUCCUAACCUUAAGGAUGAGACCCUAUCAAUAUUGCCUCUGCUUUUGUGAUCAGGGUAGUAGUGCAAUAUUGCUUAUAGGGUCUUUUCUUUUGAGGGUUAUUCAUCACGGACAGAAGAAAGCCACAGCGGGAAAAAAAUAAUACUAUGUGCCCAUCGAGUUAAGGGAAAAGUUGUGAAAUGCUGAGCGCUGUUAGAUAGGCAAGUAACUGCAGAGAUGGUUUUUGUGACAAAUAAUCGUGCUAUUGUGGUGACUCCGGUUGUGAGUAAUGGGCAUAUUUUUGAUGCUAUCACACGGGAUUCAAAACGGCCUCUUGUCUAAAAUGCACAGGAAUGAUUGAAACCGGAGAAACCCAUCACGGCUCCAUUUUAAAAUAGUAUGAGUCCCGAGACAUUUGAAGGGUGCCUGUUUUACAUAAUGAUGUAAACACCCACCAAGGGAUGGGAGGAGAUACAUAGCCACACUUGCUGUUUCUGUGCCUGAUCCCAGCCCGAAAACCGGUGGUGAUGCGAAGCAGAGCACAGCACAAAGAGACAGAGGCUUUAAUCCCAGUAACCUCCUCGAAACAAAGCUCAUGCCUCCGUUGGCGAGCAGGGCCCGCUAGCUACAGAUCUGGGCUCAGUGGCCGGGCCGGGCGCUGCCGCCGGGGGCUGCUCCUGGGUGCAGCGGGGCUGGGGACGGCCUCCGGCCCUUCCCGAGAGCUGCGCACCGAGGUACGUGGGAACGGAGCCGGGAUAGGGGUGUUCAAUCUCCUCUGCUUUGUGAGGGAUCAGCUGGGGGUUGACAGCAGCUGGGAUGGCCGAGUGGGUGGCCCUGCCUUCCAUUUCAGGUGGUCCCCGCGGUCCCUUUCGGGACCUCAGGGGCCCAGGGAAAGGGUUGGUGGGAGGGGACUGGAGGCCGGAUCAGGGCGCGGCGGAGCAGCCGCUGCCGCGGAGGUUUCUGAGCCGGUUCCCCGGAGGCGCUUCUCCCCGCGGCUCGCCUCGCCUCGCCUGCCCGCGGGCGUGCAAGAAAGGGUCCGAAGCCCUACGGCGGGGCCGUGCCCGCUGCCUCCCCAUUGAACGGCUGACCCUGCCUCUGCCCUCGGUUUAAAUCCACCUCCCCAGCAUCAUUCUGGGGGGAGGCGUCCAGCUCGGGGACAAAGCCAGGAUCGCCCCCCGGGCUCUCCCUCCGUGCACCCGGCCGGGCUGCAGGCCGAGGGGCUGCCGCGGCUGCUGGGCCAGCGCUGGGACCACCGGGCGGGCUGCCCCUCUUUCCCUGUUGCACUACUGUCACGGUCGCAGCGAGCAGUGCAAUAAUGAAAGGGCGUCAGUGCGCCGGGGAGCGGCGAGAGCCGGGGACGAGCCGGUGACAGCGUGCGGGGACGGGACGUCCCGCCGCCCCCCCGAGAGCCACCUUAACGGAGGAAGUGGGGGGGUUCGGUUGUGCAACUUUCUUUGUUUAAACACGCAGCGGCGGAGCGUGUGCGCGCAGGGGCAGGGCAAGGUGAGCGGCUCCGCGCACCGCCCUGGCCUGGGCGCGCGGCGACUCCCGUCCCACCGGCCCCGGCGGAGCCCGGCCGUGACGCCCCUCCGCUGUGCCCGGCCAGCGGCAAAUAAAUAAAGUGACUCCUACGUC
Pezoporus flaviventris is the source of this 3072-nucleotide long non-coding RNA. RefSeq lists it as uncharacterized. The transcript is spliced from 2 exons. The record is from RefSeq and is a predicted model, not a curated record. NCBI's taxonomy places the organism in Eukaryota, Metazoa, Chordata, Aves, Psittaciformes, Psittacidae.